CGAACAUCACGCAUGCGCGCAGCACACAAAAUCCUCAGCAGCAGCAGAAGCAGAGGUGCCGGAGUAACGAUCACUUCGCGCAUGCUCACAGUCUUGGGGUGGGCGGUGUUUUCCUUUCUGCUCAGUGCUGAAGUGGAUCGUCUGCAGGAUCGGGAAAUGUUCCUCGCCUCCUGGGUCAGGGAGCUGGGGGUUGGGAUCACUGUCUGCGGGCUGAAGAUAUCACUUUCCCGUUGUUAGAUCUGCAGUGAGAGAUUUAUUGGAAGAAAAACCCCAACUGGAAGCAAACCACUUCUGAAGACGGGGGAACAACAGCAAGUGAACCAGCUCAAGGAUUGAGAGCAUCAACUGGAGAGGACCCAUCUGACUCGGGGAAUCCAGUGAUUCAGUCAGGAGAAAGUUUGGUUAAAAAUGACAAGGAAUUUGUCUACGGGAAUCUCGAACACAACAAGCCAGUUUUGCUGUUUCUGUCCAGAUAUUUAAAAAGAGGAGUAAGGGAUUCACUCGAUCAUCCGUCCUACUCAGACUGUGGGGAGGAAUUCACUCGAUUAUCUGACCGACUGGCACGCCCGUCAUUUUACACAGGGGGGAACCCAUUCAUCUGCUCAGCCAGUGGGAAUGGAUUCACUCAGUCAUCUCAACUGAAGUUGGAAGCUGAAGCUGAAGUUGGAAGUUUACAUACACUUAGAUUGAAGUCAUUAAAACUCCUUGUUUAACUACUCCACAGAUUUCAUUUUAGCAAACUAUAGUUUGGGAAGACGUUGAGGACAUGUGCUUUGUGCAUGACACAAGUAAUUUUUCCGCAAUUGUUUACAGACAGAUUAUUUCACUUUUAAUUGACUAUAUCACAAUUCCAGUGGGUCAGAAGUUUACAAACACUAAGUUAACUGUGACUUUAACUAGCUUGGAAAAUUCCAGAAAUGAUGUCAAGCCUUUAGGCAAUUAGCCAAUUAGCUUCUGAUUCAAGUGGAAGUGUACCUGUGGAUGUAGUUUAAGGCCUACCUUCAAACUCAGUGCCUCUUUGCUUGACAUCAUGGGAAAAUCAAAAGAAAUCAGCCAAGACCUCAGAAAAAGAAUUGUGGACCUCCAUAAGUCUGGUUCAUCCUUGGGAGCAAUUUCCAAAUGCCUGAAGGUACCACGUUCAUCUGUACAAACAAUAGUACGCAAGUAUAAACACCAUGGGACCACACAGCCGUCAUACCGCUCAGGAAGGAGAUGCAUUCUGUCUCCUCGAGAUGAACGUACUUUAGCACGAAAAGUGCAAAUCAAUCCCAGAACAACAGCAAAGGACCUUGUGAAGAUGCUGGAUGAAAAAGGUAGACAAGUAUCUAUAUCCACAGUAAAACGAGUCCUAUAUCGACAUAACCUGAAAGGCUGCUCAGCAAAGAAGAAGCCACUGCUCCAAAACUGCCAUAAAAAAGCCUGACUACAUUUGCAAGUGUACAUGGGGACAAAAAUCUUACUUUCUGGAGAAAUGUCCUCUGGCCUGAUGAAACAAAAAUUGAACUGUUUGGCCAUAAUGACCAUCGUUAUGUUUGAAGGAAAAAGGGUGAAGCUUGCAAGCCGAAGAACACCAUCCCAACUGUGAAGCAUGGGGGGUGGCAGCAUCAUGUUGUGGGGGUGCUUUGCUGCAGGAGGGACUGGUGCACUUCACAAAAUAGAUGGCAUCAUGAGGAAGGAAAAUUAUGUGGAUAUAUUGAAGCAACAUCUCAAGACAUCAGCCAAGAAGUUAAAGCUCGGUUGCAAAUGGGUCUUCCAAAUGGACAAUGACCCCAAGCGUACCUUCAAAGUUGUGGCAAAAUUGCUUAAGGACAACAAAGUCAAGGUAUUGGAGUGGCUGUCACAAAGCCCUGACCUCAAUCCGAUAGAUAAUUUGUGGUCAGAACUGAAAAAGUGUAUGCGAGCAAGGAGUCUACAAACCUGACUCAGUUACAUCAGUUCUGUCUGGAGGAAAGGAGCAAAAUUCCAGCAACUUAUUGUGAGAAGCUUGUGGAAGGCUACCCUAAACGUUUGACUCAAGUUAAACAUUUUAAAGGCAAUGCUACCAAAUACUAACAAAGUGUAUGUAAACUUCUAACCCACUGGGAAUGCGAUGAAAGAAAUAAAUGCUGAAAUGCAUCAUUCUCUCUACUAUUAUUCUGACAUUUCACAUUCUUAAAAUAGUGAUCCUAACUGACCUAAGACAGGGAAUGUUUUGUAGGAUUAAAUGUCAGAAAUUGUGAAAAACUGAGUUUAAAUGUAUUUGGCUAAGGUGUAUGUAAACUUCUGACUUCAACUUUACAUCAGCAAGAGGAGAGCAGUAGUGAUAUGGGAUUCGAUAGGGGGACAGAUAAGAGGUUCUGUGGAAGAGAUCGAGAAUUCUGGAUGGUCUGUUGCCUCCCUGGUGCCAAGGUCUGCGAUAUCUCGGUAUUCUCAAGAGGGAGGGUGAGCAGCUGGAUGUCUUGGUCCAUGUAGGGGCCAAUGACGUGGGUAGGAAGAGUGAGGAGGUCCUGAAAGGUGAGUUUAGGGAGUUAGGCGCCAAGUUAAAGGACAGGACCUCCAGGAUAGCAACCUCAGGAUUGCUACCACUGCCAUGUGCAGGCGGGUUUAGAAAUAAUAAGAUAGCGCAGAUCAACACGUGGCUGAAGACAUGGUGCAGGAGGGAGGGCUUCAGAUUUAUAGAUAAUUGGGCAGUUUUCCAGGGAAGGUGGGACCUGUUCUGGUGGGACAGUUUACAUCUGAACUGGAGAGGGACAAAUAUUCUUGCAGGUAGGUUUGCUAGGGAGGCUCCGGUGGAUAAACUAGGUACAAGGGGGGAGGGGAACCAGAGUGUAGGAACAGAUGUGGGGGAGAAGGAAGAAAAAGAAAAUAGUAAAGUUGUUUGCACCGUUAGUGAUAAACAGAGAGUAACAGGUGGAAAAUCUCUUAAAUGCAUUUAUUUUAAUGCUAGGAGAUUUUAAGAAAGAUUGGAUGAGCCUAAAGCAUGGAUUGAUACCUGGAAGUAUGAUGUGGUAGCUAUUAGUGACCUUGAAGGAAGUUAGUGUGGAAAUAUCAGGGGCUCUGACAGAAAUAUUUCAAAUGUCAUUAGAAACGGGGAUGGUGCUGGAGGAUUGGCGUAUUGCUCAUGUUGUUCCAUUGUUUAAAAAAGGGUUCUAAGAGUAAACCUAACAAUUAUCGGCCUGUGAGUUUGACGUCAGUGGUGGGUAAAUUGAUGGAAAGUAUUCUUAGAGAUGGUAUAUAUAAUUAUCUGGAUAGACGGGGUCUGAUUAGGAGCAGUCAACAUGGCUUUGUGCGUGGAAGGUCAUGUUUGACAAAUCUUCUUGAAUUUUUUGAAGAGGUUACUAGGAAAGUUGAUGAGGGUAAAGCAGUGGAUGUUGUCUAUGUGGACUUGAGGCCUUUGACAAGGUUCCACACGGAAAGUUGGUUAGGAAGGUUCAGUCGUUAGGUAUUAAUAUUGAAGUAAUAAAAUGGAUUCAGCAGUGGCUGGGUGGGAGAUGCCAGAAAUGGUGGUGGAUAACUGUUUGUCAGAUUGGAGGCUGGUGACUAGUGGUGUGCCCCAGGGAUCUGUACUGGGUCCAAUGUUGUUUGUCAUAUACAUUAAUGAUCUGGAAGAUGGGGUGGUAAAUUGGGUAAGUAUGCAGAUGAUAUUAAGAUAGGUGGAAUUGUGGAUAAUGAAAUAGGUUUUCAAAGCUUGCAGAGAGAUUUAGGCCAGUUAGAAGAGUGGGCUGAAAGAUGAUAGAUGGAGUUUAAUGCUGAUAAAUGUGAGGUGCUACAUUUUGGUAGGACUAAUCAAAAUAGGACAUACAGGGUAAAUGGUAGGGCAUUGAAGAAUGCAGUAGAACAGAGGGAUCCAGGAAUAAUGGUGCAUCGUUCCCUGAAAGUGGAAUCUCAUGUGGAUAGGGUGGUGAAGAAAGCUUUUAGUAUGCUGGCCUUUAUAAAUCAGUGCAUUGAGUAUAGGAGUUGGGAUGUAAUGUUGAAAUUGUACAAGGCAUUGGUGAGGCCAAAUUUGGAGUAUUGUGUACAGUUUUGGUCACCGAAUUAUAGGAAAGAUGUCAACAAAAUAGAGAGAGUACAGAGAAGAUUUACUAGAAUAUUACCUGGGUUUCAUCUCCUAAGUUACAUAGAAAGGUUGAACAAGUUGGGUCUGUAUUCUUUGGAACGUAGAAGGCUGAGGGGGACUUGAUAGAGAUAUUUAAAAUUAUGAGGGGGACAGAUAGAGUUGAUGUGGAUAGGCUUUUUCCAUUGAGAGAGGGGGAGAUUCAAACAAGAGGACAUGAGUUGAGAGUUAAAGGGCAAAAGUUUAGGGGUAACAUGAGGGGGAACUUCUUUGCUCAGAGAGUGGUAGCUGUGUGGAACGAGCUUCCAGCAGAAGUGGUUGAGGCAGGUUCGAUGUUGUCGUUUAAAGUUAAAUUGGAUAGGUAUAUGGACAGGAAAGGAAUGGAGGGUUAUGGGCUGAGUGCAGGUCAGUGGGACGAGGUGAGAGUAAGAGUUCGGCAUGGACUAAAAGGGCCGAAAUGGCCUGUUUCCGUGCUGUAAUUGUUAUAUGGUUAUAUAAGUUCACACUGGGACAAAGCCAUUCACCUGUUCUGUGGAUGAGAAGGGAUUCAGUCGGUCUUCCCACCUGUGGAUGCACCAGUCAGUUCACAUUGGGCAGAGGCUGGUGAUCUGCUGAAUUUGUGGGGAAAGAUUCACUUGGUCAUCUGACCUAAUGGCUCACCAGCGAGUUCACACCGGUGAGCGGCCAUUCACCUGCUCGGACUGCGGGAAUGGAUUCACUCAGUCAUCCAACCUACAGAGACACCAUCAAUUCGCACUGGGGAGAGGCAAUUCACCUGGUCAGUCUGUGGGAAGGGAUUCACUCAGGCAUCUCACCGAUUGACACACCAGUCAGUUCACACUGGGGAGAGGGCGUUCACCUGCUGUGAAUGUGGGAAGGGAUUCACUCCGUCAUCUGAUCUGCUGGCAUACCAGUCAGUUCACACUGGGGAGAAGCUGAUCACCUGCUCAGAGAUUGUGAAGAAAUUCUCUCAGUCAUCUCCACCAAAUGUGCAUCAUUGAGUUCACACUGGGGAGGGAUGUGGGAAGGAUUCACUCAGUAAUCUAACCUUGUGACACACUACCGGGUUCACACUGGGGAGAAAGUGUCAAUAAGCUGCAAGCUGGAUAAUUGUCCAUCACCGUACUGAAUGCAAUUUUGAGAGUGACUGUCGGUGCUGAACUCUGCAAUUAUUGCUGCUGCUCACCACACCCAGUUCUGCACCCUGGUCACUGGGCAUGGGAGGAGUUUUUUCUGCUGCAUAUUCACCUUAAUGGGACUGGAGUUUAAUAUUCUGGGUCUGCGACAAAUAAAUCAGUUCUAUUUUAAACUCUGUCUCCUGUACUGUGCAAUAGAGAGUCAACUAAGGCCGGCUGGACCCUGCCAGUGAUUCUGUUCCACGACAGUCUUUUUGAGUCCUCCCCUGUUGUUCACCUCUUGCUCUCCCAGUGGUGAUGGGUUCCAAAUAGUCACCACUCUGUGGGUGAAGAGGUUUCCCUUGAAUUUUCUGCAGACUGAAGUUGAGCUGACUGCAGUUCUGUCUGAGAUGUUCUUCGCCCCUCUAAUCUCUGGGCUGAGGAAGAAUGACAUUGGUAGUUAACCUCCUGAAUCACGACUCAUUUCCGCAUUGUGGGUCAUUUUCCCUGCUUCUAACGGGUAUUAGAAAACACCACUGUCCUCUAAAGACUGAAAGAAUGGGAAACCAUCAGUUGGAUGUUCAACAGAGGAGGGUCAGAAACCAGAGGCGGGUCUGCACAGGGCAGAGUUUGGGGCUCUGGACGAUGGUCGGGGUAAGAACGUAUGAUGAGAAUGGAAUCAGCAGCGGGACGUGGCAACAAAUGACAAAGUAGCAACAUUUGGAAGCUGAUUGACAGAGAAAAUACUUAAGUUGUCUGACUGACGACACAAACAAUGCCUGUUGUGAGGUGCUCCAUUGGUCGAGGAACGGGUGUGUGUUGGGAAUCUAUUGAGUGAGUUGUUCCUGCAUGUUUAUCCUGUAAUAUUAUAUCCGGAUGGUUAUUAUGGAUCGUCCUAUCUGUAAUAAUAUGAUUAUCAUAUAAUUCGUAAGAUAUUGACUAUAACUGGAUCAGGCUUGAAUUUAUGGUGCUUUAAUGAAGUUACGGUGGUCAUUCAUGAGUUUGUAUUUAAAAGCAAGAUUUUGGUGAAUGAUAUUUGCAACUUGAUUGUACCUUUGUAAGUAAUCGUAUUGAGUUAAACUGCUUCAGGAUCUUGGAAUGUGUUGGAUUGUGUCUGGUUUCUCGGCAUUUUCUGCAUUUAUCAUCUGCUAGUUUGCCUUUUAUGUAAUUUUGAUAUUUUUUAAUGUUAACCCUGUCCUGUAUUUCUGCAAGGAACCUCUGUUUCUCUGAGUUUGAUGCUUCCUUGACAACAUCUAGUUUGCUCAGAUCAUUGGGAUGUCUCCCAUACCGAGUCAUACUCAUUCCACUGGUUAACGUUUUCUUCCAUAGUGAUGAUUCAUUUUUUCUGAGUUGGUCUCUCAUUUAAGUUUUCUGGCCUGUAUUUAUUAUCAGAAUUGCAUAUACCUGCCUAGUGUUUCGAAUCCUGUUUAUUUCGUAUGAAAAUAUAUACUUUAGAAAUCUUAUCAGACUGUUGGGUGAUUUUUUAAAAAA
Molecule: long non-coding RNA, 6639 nt
Organism: Mobula hypostoma (lesser devil ray)
Lineage: Eukaryota; Metazoa; Chordata; Chondrichthyes; Myliobatiformes; Myliobatidae
Exons: 4
Source: RefSeq, a predicted model, not a curated record